This is a long non-coding RNA of Mauremys reevesii (Reeves's turtle), 310 nucleotides long. RefSeq lists it as uncharacterized. The record is from RefSeq and is a predicted model, not a curated record. The transcript has 3 exons. Lineage: Eukaryota; Metazoa; Chordata; Testudines; Geoemydidae.
UAAUAUUUCUGAGACUGCACAGUGCGAGAUAUCCACAUGCAUUAGGUGUCCUGCCCUUGUAGCCACACCAUCAAUUAACUCUUUGAACCAUAAACAAUCUGGUCCUGCGCACAACCGUUAUCUGGGCUCCCAGCCAGACCCGGCCCCACCCAGCCACGCUGCAGCCGAAAAGCAAGACCUUGAGAGCACUUUCUAGUACAAAUUCCUUCCAUGUGACAGCCAGGCAGCAAAAUCUCCUGGUCCUGGAUGUGAAGGUCUUAUCUGCAACGGCAAGCUGUCAAAUUUAAAGCAAGUUUAACUAUCUCAAAGG